GUAUGUGAGGGUGAUCUGGCUGUGACAUCUGUCACCUCAUUGAUCACCAGGGUUGAUUCAGCUGAUCUAGCUGGCUAGGCGGGUGUUCCCCUCCUCCCUCACCACUUCAUGUGUGUCCCUCCUGAAGCUGCAUGCUCAGUCAAAGAGGACAGCCUUCCUGAAUAGAGAUGGACCAGUCUUCGGUCUUCAGUCAAAGGUAAACGAGUAGCUGCGCUCCCCUGCUAGAACAAGCUCUCAAGGUCCAUAAGUUAGAGGUAAGCAGUGCUAUGAUAUUAAGAAUAAAUAAAUAAACAAGCAAAUAAAUAACUAUGUAGAGUAUUGUGCUACAGCUUGUGUUU
Molecule: small nuclear RNA, 338 nt
Filed under: Erinaceus europaeus (western European hedgehog)
Lineage: Eukaryota; Metazoa; Chordata; Mammalia; Eulipotyphla; Erinaceidae
Description: 7SK RNA (ENSEEUG00000019312.1)
Rfam family: 7SK RNA
About the family: 7SK was discovered as an abundant small nuclear RNA in the mid-70s but a possible function has only recently been suggested. Two independent studies have found that 7SK RNA binds the CDK9/cyclin T complex (known as elongation factor P-TEFb).
Source: RNAcentral